UACGUAGGGUGCGAGCGUUGUCCGGAAUUAUUGGGCGUAAAGAGCUCGUAGGCGGUGUGUCACGUCGGCCGUGAAAACCUGCAGCUUAACUGUGGGCGUGCGGUCGAUACGGGCAUCACUGGAGUUCGGCAGGGGAGACUGGAAUUCCUGGUGUAGCGGUGAAAUGCGCAGGUAUCAGGAGGAACACCGGUGGCGAAGGCGGGUCUCUGGGCCGAUACUGACGCUGAGGAGCGAAAGCGUGGGGAGCAAACAGG
RNAcentral lists this ribosomal RNA (254 nucleotides) under uncultured bacterium. RNAcentral describes it as "partial 16S ribosomal RNA". It matches the Rfam family "Bacterial small subunit ribosomal RNA", at positions 524 to 776 of the family's 1533-position model. The record is from RNAcentral.